GUAGAGACAUUGUCUGAUAACUAGAAACAGGGAAACCAAAUACUGGCUUUGAAGUUUGAACGUUAGUAUUUGCAGCCACUAUGUUCCCUUUCUCUAUCCUAAACCUCACUGACUCUUCUCUCCCCUCAAAUUCUCCGCAAAACCCAAACCCAUACGAGAGAAGUUCAGUCAGAGACCAAAAUCACCAUUAACGAGAGGCGCAAGAAUAAUAAGAAGAAGAGAAGAGGGUUGCUUCCCUUAAGAGAUGCAAAGAAAAUCGAGCUUGAGAAGAAGGGAAAUGGAAGAGGGUUGAGUCCCUACAAGGAUGUAAAUUGAGACAGAUCAAUCCUCUGGUUCUCAAGAACCCUUCUACGUUUCACGUCAAAGCGAAGCUUCCAGAACCUGACUUCAAUGGCGAGCGUGUAGAGCCUAAGGAUCCCAGAGGGUUUCUUCACGGGAAGGGUUUGGAGGAUGUCAUGCAGUUUUUCAUAGUUGGAGCUAUAACCCUAGUUCUAAGACCACUCAUAAAGGGUAAAUGGCUUCCUCAGCACACUGUUGCUGCAUGUGGAGAACUUUACCUUUUAGAUUCUUUGUUGAAGCAUAAUGCUGUUAUCAAUUCGGUGGAUAAGGAUGGUUUGACUGCCCUUCACAAAGCGAUUGGCAAAAAGCAGGUCAUAACCAAUUUUCUCCUAAAAAACUCAGCUAAUGCGUUUGUACGGGACAAAGAGGGGGCCACCUUGAUGCACUAUGCUGUACAAACAGCUUCUACUGAGACAAUUGAAUUACUCUUAUUGUAUAUUGUAGAGAUAAAUCUUCAAGACAAUGAUGGCUGGACACCAUUAAAUCUUGCUGUUCAAACUCAGACCAAAUUUAGUUAGGCUUCUGCUGCUUAAAGGUGCUGAUAAGACAUUAAGAAACAAGGAUGGUUUAACUCCACUUGACCUUUGUCUUUACUCUGGUCAAAGUUUCCAAACGUAUGUGCUAAUCAAGUUGUUAAAGCAGCCUCAAGGGUGUCUUUGACAAAUGGUGUUGUCUCUAGUUCCCAGACAUUUGGAAAUGUAGCUGUAUCGUUCCUGUUGUACCAAGAGCAGAACAAGGGAUGUGGUUUCUUUAUCCAUGUCAGAUGUGAUUUAGUGUCCUUCUCAUUUCAAAUAUAUUUAUUUUUAACCCCUUAUGGUGAUCUAUCUUAGAUUGGGAAAAGAAUUAAUUUCUCCAUUUUUAUCCUUGGUUAAACCUAUAUGUCUUCUCAUGCUCAUCAAGUAAGAAGGAUUUUAAUCAGUAGUGUCCCCAUUAUUGCUCUCUAAUUGAUUAUUGAGUUGUGGGAACCAAAUGUGUAAAUCAGUUGCUCAAGAUUAACACUUAGUGUUGUGACUUCAGGAGGCAGUCACAUUACACCAGAGGUGCAGAGAUUAGUUUUCCAUUUGUGUUCUUCAAAUUUUCAACUGACACCAACAGCAGUCAAUUGUCGUUGAAUUCUAUGGCCAGGGAGUUUGACAUGCACUUUUGGAAACCCUACUGGCAGUGUAAAUCGACCGAGUAAGAAUUUUUGAUGGGUACUUUGUAGUAUGACCUUUGUACUUGUGUCGCUGUCUAUUAUAAGGGGAUGAAAAUAGAAGAAAAAAUAUUAAACAUACUGUAUAAUGAGGUCGAUAGUGUAAAGAUGCUUCAUACACAAACACAAUAUUAUCCUAAGCACUA
Molecule: long non-coding RNA, 1677 nt
Filed under: Glycine max (soybean)
Lineage: Eukaryota; Viridiplantae; Streptophyta; Magnoliopsida; Fabales; Fabaceae
Description: ankyrin repeat domain-containing protein, chloroplastic-like (LOC100803912)
Source: RNAcentral